This 1580-nucleotide long non-coding RNA is filed under the name Mus musculus (house mouse). RNAcentral's name for it is "sciatic injury induced lincRNA upregulator of SOX11". Lineage: Eukaryota; Metazoa; Chordata; Mammalia; Rodentia; Muridae. The record is from RNAcentral.
CUUUUAGCCGGCACACUUUGCAGGGGUUGGUUGUACGUAGCUUGGGGUAUGAGCAUUGUGGCAUCACGGGACAUUGUUUCAGCCUGCGACUUGAGGGUUAUGAGCUGGGGAAGAGACAGUUAAAGCUUCCACGCACCAGCAAGAUGAGUUGUACCACACAGCGCCCAUGCCAAGGUCAGCAGUCUGAAUGGAGCUGAGACACUUACUGCCCGUGCCAAGCAGUGCCAAGCACCUCUGGAAGCCCCUGCCUAGGACCCCCAAAUUUAGAUUCAUGCUGCAGUCUGGAGAGUGUUUUGACGGCUGCCGGGCUACAGGGAAAAGCGCACUGCACACUGCCUCUGAGAUGAGACAGAGCUCUCCAGGCUGGGAGUCUGGGGAAGCCGGACCUGGGUAGCGCUGCUCAGAUCCAAAUGACAAGUAUGUCUCCUGUAUUAUUCAAAACCGAAUUAAGCAGCAAAUAUUGACCAAGUCUACAUAUAAGCCUAUGGGUUGUAACUAUGUAUACAACACAGCAGCCCAGUUUCAUAAGGGAAGUAGACAUGGGUAUCCCUGGGUAAGCAGAGGCUGCCGAGAUACCAUUGGGAUACAUUGAGGAGAAGAUAUUGCAGCGAGGCAGGUUGAAUUCAUCUGCCUGCUUCCAUAGGCUCCAUCCAGACUAAGCUCUACAGGAACUGCCACCGAGACAGAAGUCUCUCUUUCCUCAGUCACUUGGCCCAACUCAAAUAAGUCCAAAGGACAGAAGAGUAAUGUGUGAAGUAGGAGCCACAGGGCAGGAGACGCCAAACCAGAGGGGCUGGAACUCACCUGAAGCUGAUGGAGCCCCCCUGCCUACUCCACUUCUGACAAGCCAGUUCAUGGAUGCUGUCCACAGAUUUUUUUCAUUGCUGGUGGUUUAAUGCUCUCUGUAGCCUUGUAAUGAUUCAACCAGACAGAGGAACCAAAGUCGAUCAGUCCAUGACUAAUAGGGACUCUCCGGUCCCAGGCUUCACCACAUUCUGAGCAGCCAACAGGUGCCACAUGGGAUGGUAAAGUGAUUUAGGCCAUGACCCCUUCAGGUUUUGUUUGUUUAUCUGCUUGUUUCUAAGGUUCAUUUUAUUUUUAUAGAUAUGUAUUUGUGUGUGGGUGUCUCUUUAAAUAUGUGCUACAUGAGUGUAUGUGCCCAUGUAAGCCAGGAGAAAGAAUUUAAAUUUCCUGGAGCUGGAGUUAAGUUCUCUCCCAUAGGUGUUGAGAACCAAACUCAGGUUCUUUUUUUGUUGUUGUUGUUCUUGUUGAUUUUUAUAUUUUGAGUGUGCUCACACACACACUCAUGUACCUACACGUGCAUGUCUGUGUAGACACAUGUGUACACUUGUCAUGCAGAGGUUUUGUAUACAUGUGGAAGUUAGAGAACAACUAGAGAAGUUGAUUCUCUCCUUUCACCCUGUUCGAAGGAUUGAACUCAGGGUCUUAAGCCUGGCAGCAAGGGCCUUUACCCAUUGAGCUACCUGACAGUCCCCUUUCUCCAGUAUUACUGAGUAAUUAUGUAUGAAUAAUUUUACAUGACAACAUUUUACAUGGGUGAAUAAAUAUUGAACUUAACU